This 1112-nucleotide long non-coding RNA is filed under the name Macaca fascicularis (crab-eating macaque). RNAcentral describes it as "lncRNA (ENSMFAG00000057493.1)". The record is from RNAcentral. Lineage: Eukaryota; Metazoa; Chordata; Mammalia; Primates; Cercopithecidae.
UGUCAUCUUCCCCUGCGUGGGAAUUGCUUAAGCUCCCUGGCUGGGAAGCUGCUGCCUUCCACUCAGCGUGCCCGCUGCAGGUGGAUGGUCAAGGCGUGGACUGCCGGGCAUGGGCCCACGGGCACCGGGCACUGGCCCCUUUUCCCUCCUAUCCAGCAAGGGCACAAGAGUGAAUCUACGUGCAGGUGUAAGAGCCACGUCCUCUGUCCCCAGGAUGAGAUAGAGAGAGCCUAGAGAGCCGGUAGAAGCCUAACCUGAGGUUUCCAUGACAACCAUGGAAGCCUCCAGAAACUUCAGCACCCCUACCAACUCCCUCUCAGAACCGCCAGGUUGCCAAAAAAUAUGCAGUACUGAAACGGCAGCCGAAGGAAAGGCAGGAACCAUGUGCUCUCAGACAGGGACCCUUGAGCUUCUCCCCCAGAACCCUCUCUGUACAACACCUGCCUCAGGAACAUGGCCCCUAGUCACCCUCAGUGCACUCACCGGCCACAGAGGAAAAGGCAAAACAGGAUGUAAAUAUGCUCUCUCUGUAAUGUGCUUUCUGUCCUAAGGAAGCUAUGGAAAAAAGUUCUGUGCUCAAACAAUACAAUAAACCCAGAAAGAAGAUAACAUGGGAACCAACUCAGAAGAGGAAUUACUGGAUGACUACAAAGGCAAGCCCCAGGGAGAGUGCUGUGCCAGCCAGACAAGAAAACAAGCAUCCCAGAAUGGAGUGGGAGGUAGAUGGCUCAAGGUUUGGGGCCAAAGAUAGAUAAAGAGGGGUGUCUUCUGGAAGAAACAAAGCUGACAGGUUAUGUGGAAAAUCACAGGGGGAAUACUCAGUCAGAGAUCCACCAAAAAACUAAGCAAAUGUGAAAAAGAAGGGAUCAGUAACUCCAAGGAAACACUAAAAUUUGCAGGAGAUAGAAAGCAGAAAUACAGAAGUGUAUUUGGCUCAGCACUAAACAAUAUAUUCAUGAUCAUGAUAAUGAAAAAGCUGACAAUAAAUUUAACCAUAAAAUGAUGAUAAACCUGUGUUUUGGAGUAUGGGGGAAGAAGAAAAAAGUUUUUUUAAAUUUAAACCUUCUCCUAUCAUAAAUAAAAAGUCAAUAGAUAAAGUCUAUAGAUGGUGC